Solanum lycopersicum (tomato) is the source of this 133-nucleotide non-coding RNA. Lineage: Eukaryota; Viridiplantae; Streptophyta; Magnoliopsida; Solanales; Solanaceae. The record is from Rfam.
AGGCAGCCCCCUUUUUGAUAAUCGAUGGAAAGGGAGGUGUUAAUCAGCUCGUAAAAUGGAUUCGUUUACGCUCUUCAGAUUUGCUGAAAUAUACUUACAUCUUGGAAGCUGGUCUAGUAAGCUUAAACACAAU